RNAcentral lists this ribosomal RNA (250 nucleotides) under uncultured prokaryote. RNAcentral describes it as "partial 16S rRNA". It matches the Rfam family "Bacterial small subunit ribosomal RNA", at positions 525 to 775 of the family's 1533-position model. The record is from RNAcentral.
ACGUAGGGGACGAGCGUUGUCCGGAUUUACUGGGCCUAAAGGGCGCGUAGGCGGUCAUUUAAGUCCGCUUUUAAAUGGUUUGGCUUAACCGGAUCAUGCGGUUGAAACUGGAUGACUGGAGUGCUGGAGAGGCAAGUGGUAUUACCAGUGUAGCGGUGAAAUGCGGAGAUAUGGGGAAGAACACCGGUGGCGAAGGCGCCUUGCGGGCCAGAAACUGACGCUGAGGCGCGAAAGCCAGGGGAGCAAACGG